AUAGGGAGGACUAGUAGGGGAACUUUCACACAAAUGCAAAUAACCGCUUGACAGCUGAACUUCCUAAGGUAAAGAGACUGACAGGCGACAUACUUCUAACUCAUAGCUCACAAUUAAUACUUGACUGAAUCUAAGAGAUCACAAGGAUGUCAGAAAACAAAAUCUACUCAAAUGUAACACCAUAGGACACACCAGAGGACUCUACCACAGCCAUGCAGACAGAUGAGGUGACAUACUCUGACAUCAACUUCAUCAAAACAGGAAAUAGCCACCAGAAGCAAACCAACAGUGAUGGAGACUGUGUAACUGCCAUCUACUCUCAGGUCAAUCUGCCUAAAAAGGUCCCAGGAAAUGAACUGGACCCACCACCUCCAUCUGAUUCCAGGAACAUCUCCACCCUGGCCAAACCUGACCCUGCCAACUCCUCACCACAGUAACAUUCAGAGAAAGAGCGCCGUCCUGGUAUCUCUCAGAGAUGCACAGUCCUCUUACUCUCUGUGUGUGUUCUCCUGUUGGCCGUUGCUGUUACUAUGGGAGUGCUCUAUGUUGUGAAAGUGGAGAAAUAUUCAGAAACCGAAAGGAUGUUAAUUGAGCAGAAAAGCAGAAAUGAUGAUCUCACCAAGGAGA
Long non-coding RNA from Clupea harengus (Atlantic herring), 627 nucleotides. RefSeq lists it as uncharacterized. The record is from RefSeq and is a predicted model, not a curated record. The transcript is spliced from 6 exons. Lineage: Eukaryota; Metazoa; Chordata; Actinopteri; Clupeiformes; Clupeidae.